RNAcentral lists this long non-coding RNA (716 nucleotides) under Coffea arabica (coffee). Its description in RNAcentral is "long non-coding RNA (CARA_LNC002238)". Lineage: Eukaryota; Viridiplantae; Streptophyta; Magnoliopsida; Gentianales; Rubiaceae. The record is from RNAcentral.
CCUCAAUGAUCUAUGUCAUUCAAGAACACAUUUUGAAAACAUUCAGAAUAGAGGACGCAUUACAAUGGGGAAAUAUGUUUGCUUCGGUCAAAUGUAGCAGGAGCAGGAGACUAAUGAUAGUUGAUCUUUAUUAUUUUGCAAACUUGUGCAAAUAGUCAAAUGAAAGGAACUUCCAGAAUCCAACCCAAAAUCAAAUAUUAAUUUGACCUUGCAGAAAUCAAUGAUGCAAAUCGUAUUCCAAUUCUAAAAUCAGUAAAAACAAAUUACGAAAAUAUUCUCAGAAGUAAUUCAGCACCAAAGGGAACAACAUGAUGCACAAAGUCCUUCUUCAUCAAUGAUGGAAAAAGGGAUGAGAAGCUUGAAAGCCUUUGUAGAUUAAAGCUUGACGGCAUAAACUCCUACCUAAAACAGCUUAGCAAUUCUAUCGGAUUUUCCAAACGCAAUCCCUUCAAGGGUUCAGCCAAAAGUAAACCUCAAGGUUUUGCCCAAUCCGCCAUAUAUCCCGAACCGUUCUAACAUCACCUCCAUCUUCACCUUCUUUGCCUUGGACUCUCCCUUGUGGGUUCUUGGUAGAAGCUGUAGCGAUUUCGUCUUGUUAGUACUUGGUAAGAGCUGCAGCCGUGGUGGUUUGAUGGUUUAAAUUAGGGAUUUGAUUUGGGCAGUGAAGAGGAGAAGAGAAACGACAAAGGAUUGCUAGAGAUGAAGAUGAAGAAGAA